This 1521-nucleotide ribosomal RNA is filed under the name Actinopolyspora mzabensis. Its description in RNAcentral is "bacterial LSU rRNA". It matches the Rfam family "Bacterial large subunit ribosomal RNA", at positions 1 to 1477 of the family's 2925-position model. The record is from RNAcentral. Lineage: Bacteria; Bacillati; Actinomycetota; Actinomycetes; Actinopolysporales; Actinopolysporaceae.
UUGUAGGCGUACGGUGGAUGCCUGGGCACCAGAUGCUGAUGAAGGACGUGGGAGGCCGCGAUAGGCCUGGGGGAGUUGUCAACCGAGCUGUGAUCCCAGGGUGUCCGAAUGGGGUAACCUGGCCGGGGUGAUGCCCGGUCACCGGUGUCUGAAGAGAUUAGGGCGCCGGGGGGCACGCGGGGAACUGAAACAUCUCAGUACCCGCAGGAAGAGAAAACAAGAUGUGAUUCCCUGAGUAGUGGUGAGCGAACGGGGAGGAUGGCUAAACCGUCUGCGUGUCAAGCCGGUGGGUGUUGCGUGGGCGGGGUUGUGGGAGCGCCUGGUCAUCACCACCGUGGUGGCGCUGGUUGUGUGGUGUUAGCUGAAGGUGUUGGAAGGCACUGGCGGAGUGGGUGAGACCCCCGUAGGUGAAGGCACUGCACAGGCUGGUGGGGCGUGGUCCCGAGUAGCGCGGGACUCGUGUAAUCUCGUGUGAAUCGGCCAGGACCGCCUGGUAAGCCUGAAUACGUCUGGUGACCGAUAGUGGAUGUGUACCGUGAGGGACUGGUGAAAAGUACCCCGGGAGGGGAGUGAAAGAGUUCCUGAAACCGUGCGCUGUUAAACCGUCAGAGCAUGCCCUGGUGGUGUGUGAUGGCGUGCCUUUUGAAGAAUGAGCCUGCGAGUUAGUGGUGCGUGGCGAGGUUAACCCGUGUGGGGGAGCCGGAGCGAAAGCGAGUCUGAAUAGGGCGAGUGUAGUCGCGUGCUCUAGACCCGAAACCGAGUGAGCUACCCGUGGCCAGGGUGAAGCGCGGGUAAGACCGUGUGGAGGCCCGAACCCACCAGGGUUGAAAACCUGGGGGAUGAGCUGUGGGUAGGGGUGAAAGGCCAAUCAAACUCGGAGAUAGCUGGUUCUCCCCGAAAUGCAUUUAGGUGCAGCGUCGCGUGGUGCUUGGUGCAGGUAGAGCGACUGGAUGGCUGAUGGCCCCGGUGGGGGUACUGACGUCAACUAAACUCCGAAUGGCAUCAACGUUAGCAGCGUGGCAGUGAGUCCGUGGGGGAAAAGCUCCACGGUCGAGAGGGAAACAGCCCAGAUCACCGGCUAAGGCCCCGAAGUGUGUGCUGAGUGGAAAAGGAUGUGGGAUUGCCGAGACAACCAGGAGGUUGGCUUAGAAGCAGCCAUCCUUGAAAGAGUGCGUAACAGCUCACUGGUCAAGUGAUCCUGCGCCGAUAAUGUAGCGGGGCUUGUAAGUACACCGCCGAAGCCGUGACACAGCAGCGUUGCUGUUGUGGGUAGGGGAGCGUCCCGCACGCCAGUGAAGCCGCGGUGGAAACCUGUGGUGGAGGGUGUGGGAGUGAGAAUGCAGGCAUGAGUAGUGCAUGGGCAGUGAGAAUCUGUCCCGCCGGAAGACCAAGGGUUCCAGGGCCAGGUUGUUCCGCCCUGGGUGAGUCGGAUCCUAAGGCGAGGCCGUCAGGCGUAGUCGACAGGACAACGGGUUGAUAUUCCCGUACCCGCGUGGCACCGCCCCAUACCAGCCCCCAUGC